Molecule: ribosomal RNA, 253 nt
Filed under: uncultured bacterium
Lineage: Bacteria
Description: partial 16S ribosomal RNA
Rfam family: Bacterial small subunit ribosomal RNA
Source: RNAcentral
UACGGAGGGGGCGAGCGUUAUUCGGAAUUACUGGGCGUAAAGGGCUCGUAGGCGGCCAACUAAGUCAUACGUGAAAUCCCCCGGCUUAACCGGGGAACUGCGUCUGAUACUGGAUGGCUUGAGUUCGGGAGAGGGAUGCGGAAUUCCAGGUGUAGCGGUGAAAUGCGUAGAUAUCGGAAGGAACACCUGUGGCGAAAGCGGCUCACUGGACCAUAACUGACGCUGAGGCGCGAAAGCUAGGGGAGCAAACAGG